Long non-coding RNA from Cimex lectularius (bed bug), 1879 nucleotides. RefSeq lists it as uncharacterized. The transcript is spliced from 6 exons. The record is from RefSeq and is a predicted model, not a curated record. NCBI's taxonomy places the organism in Eukaryota, Metazoa, Arthropoda, Insecta, Hemiptera, Cimicidae.
AAUACGAUAACCUGUGCUACAAUGUUUUAAAAUUGAAACAAAAAAUUCAGAUAGGUGAAAAAAUUUUAAGAGUAGAUUUAAAAUAGACAUUAAAACUCGCAGACGAUUAACGUCCACGAAACAAACCGACCAAAUAAACCCUUUUAAAAACCCCUAAACGUUUUCCAGGACUUGUUGAUGUCACCCGUCGCCUCAGAUGGGAAUUUAAUUGCCACAACCGGCCCGUGCGGCGAGAAUAGACGGCAUGCUGCCGCUCAGUAGAGAAGAAAAAAGAUAAACAGGUUUAUAGCAUAGAUUACCCUGGUCCAUACGUGUUAUCAUACAAAUAGUCGAUAACCGCAAGGAAAAGUUAGCCGGCGGGUCGCCCUAUCUCGCUAGUCUGGGCCCGGCUUUCGCCAAAAACGCAUCGACUCCUCGUCAUCCAAAACUGAAAUAUUUCCCCCUUUGGCCGAUUUUGCGACGGCGGACGUUGAUACGGAUUCGGCUAGAAUCACAGGAAUAUUGGAAGACGGAAGAAGUGAAGCGUAUGUGGCCAGGGUGCUUAACGUUCGUACAGCAACUGUCCGAAGGGUCUUCUAUCGGUACCAAGAUACUGGACGUUGCUCAACAAGGCAUCGAAUCGCCAUCGUGUCACUUUUCAGAGAGACGAUCGUUUUAUUGUUUCGAAUGUACUCUGUAAUCGUCAUUCAACCGGUGUUGAGAACAAGCAACGACUUCAACAAGUUAGAAAUGUUAACGUUAGUUUACGAACUGUAAGGCGAAGACAUUCAGCAACUGGGUUACGUGCGAGAAGGUCACUGGUCCAGAACUUCUGACAAGGCAGAGGACAUCUCGGUUAAGUUAUGCAAGAAAUCACAUCAAUAGGUCUGAGCAAGAUUGGACUAAAAGCUUGUUUUCGAUCAUGAUGAGUCAAGAUUUUGUUUAAGGUCUUCUGACGGCCGAGAGAGGGUUUGGAAAAGAACCAGAGAGAUCCCCGCAACAUUUUCACUCCGGAGAAGCUAUCGAGGUGGUAGUGCUAUGGUUGGCAAGCAUUUCAAUGGAAGAUCGCACAAACUUUAUCUUCAUCGAAGGUUACCUAACAGCUGCGCGAUACAUUGAAGAUGUGUUAUAAGAAGUUCUUUAUAUGCCACUAAUUGUCGACUGUUUUAUUUUUAUGCAUGACAAUUCAAGCCCCACGCAGCUAGGAUCGUUGCUGACUACUUGAAAGGGGCUUGAAUUCAAUGUUUGGCCAGUAUGUAGUCCCUACUUAAACCAUAUCAAACGCCUUUGGGACGAGAUGUCAAAGAGGGUAAAAGUCGCCCAGUGAUGCCAGAGAAUUUGCAGGAAUUAAGGAUGGCGCUGUUGGAUGAAAAUAUUCAACAGCACUACAUUAAAAACCUCAUAAAAUUGAUGUCAUGCGACUGCAAGCCGUGAUCUAAGCAAGAGGACCCGUAAUGAGAUGAAUAUUUUCUUCAUCUUUUCCACAGGAAUAUUUUCGGACGCAUGUCUUUCGACCAGCGAGCCUCACCACCUUCAGAUUUCUCCGUGUUUUAUCUCGAAUGCGUGGCUGACUUCGACAAUAUUCUACCAGAAACUGGGGAAAAAAACUACUGUGCAACGAUCAAUAAGAAAACUCUGAAAUUUCUAGUUUCAGGGGGCCAGUCACCCUAUCUAAUGUAUACACUAGACAUGGCCCAAGGUUCAGAUGCCCGAAAAUAGACCGAUAGGGUGUCCGAUUAACGAGAAUGAAUUGGCUAUAAAAUAAGAACGGCCAAAUUCAAAAUUUUCUGCACAAAUUUGUACCUAGGUGAUUCCGGGUGAGGUAAAUGAGAAGUCCUUACCUUCUUCUUCACUGUGUCCGGCUCCAUUGUGGUACCCCUUUCGCGAAUUAAACCUGCAG